This is a long non-coding RNA of Corapipo altera (White-ruffed manakin), 241 nucleotides long. RefSeq lists it as uncharacterized. The record is from RefSeq and is a predicted model, not a curated record. The transcript is spliced from 4 exons. Lineage: Eukaryota; Metazoa; Chordata; Aves; Passeriformes; Pipridae.
GGAGACUGGCAAGAAAAGUGCUCUGGGGAGUGUAGGGAGGUGUCACAACCUGAGCACCAAAGGUACUGCUGUGACAGCAUCCAGAAGACAGGAGAGAACAGAUCAAAAAGUCCAAUUCCCUGGAUCCUCAGACAACCAAACCCUCCCGUGGGGCUGAAAUGUUCCCUUUGGUUACGUUUUGUACAACAUUGUACAGACAAACUGGAGAUUAUGAAAUUAAACCAUAAUUCAGUAAAAUCUA